UACGUAGGGGGCAAGCGUUGUCCGGAUUUAUUGGGCGUAAAGGGCGCGCAGGCGGCGCUUCAAGUCCGUUGUGAAAUUUCAGGGCUUAACCCUGACGGGUCAACGGAAACUGAAGGGCUAGAGUGCAGCAGAGGAAAGCGGAAUUCCCGGUGUAGUGGUGAAAUGCGUAGAUAUCGGGAGGAACACCAGAGGCGAAAGCGGCUUUCUGGGCUGUAACUAACGCUGAGGCGCGAAGGCUAGGGGAGCAAACAGG
Molecule: ribosomal RNA, 253 nt
Filed under: uncultured bacterium
Lineage: Bacteria
Description: partial 16S ribosomal RNA
Rfam family: Bacterial small subunit ribosomal RNA
Source: RNAcentral